RNAcentral lists this ribosomal RNA (881 nucleotides) under Sporothrix schenckii var. schenckii. Its description in RNAcentral is "LSU rRNA". It matches the Rfam family "Eukaryotic large subunit ribosomal RNA", at positions 34 to 946 of the family's 3401-position model. The record is from RNAcentral. Lineage: Eukaryota; Fungi; Ascomycota; Sordariomycetes; Ophiostomatales; Ophiostomataceae.
UUAAGCAUAUCAAUAAGCGGAGGAAAAGAAACCAACAGGGAUUGCCCCAGUAACGGCGAGUGAAGCGGCAACAGCUCAAAUUUGAAAUCUGGCCCCCCGGCCCGAGUUGUAAUUUGGAGAGGAUGCUUCUGGCGCGGCGCCGUCCGAGUUCCUUGGAACAGGACGCCACAGAGGGUGAGAGCCCCGUACGGACGGACGCCUAGCCUCUACGAAGCUCCUUCGACGAGUCGAGUAGUUUGGGAAUGCUGCUCAAAAUGGGAGGUAAAUUUCUUCUAAAGCUAAAUACCGGCCAGAGACCGAUAGCGCACAAGUAGAGUGAUCGAAAGAUGAAAAGCACUUUGAAAAGAGGGUUAAAAAGUACGUGAAAUUGUUGAAAGGGAAGCGCCUGUGACCAGACUUGCGCCCCGCGGACCACCCGGCGUUCUCGCCGGUGCACUCUGCGGUGCGCAGGCCAGCAUCGGUUCUCCCAGGGGGACAAAGGCCGCGGGAACGUAGCUCCUUCGGGAGUGUUAUAGCCCGCGGCGGCAUGCCCCUGGGGGGACCGAGGACCGCGCUUCGGCAAGGAUGCUGGCGUAAUGGUCACCAGCGACCCGUCUUGAAACACGGACCAAGGAGUCAAGCAUUGGGGCGAGUGUAUGGGUGCCAAACCCGCACGCGAAAUGAAAGUAAACGCAGGUGAGAGCUUCGGCGCAUCAUCGACCGAUCCUGAUGUCUUCGGAUGGAUUUGAGUAAGAGCCUUACCGCUUGGACCCGAAAGAUGGUGAACUAUGCCUGAAUAGGGUGAAGCCAGAGGAAACUCUGGUGGAGGCUCGCAGCGGUUCUGACGUGCAAAUCGAUCGUCAAAUUUGGGCAUGGGGGCGAAAGACUAAUCGAACCAUCUA